This 569-nucleotide ribosomal RNA is filed under the name uncultured bacterium. RNAcentral's name for it is "bacterial SSU rRNA". It matches the Rfam family "Bacterial small subunit ribosomal RNA", at positions 331 to 917 of the family's 1533-position model. The record is from RNAcentral.
CCAGACUCCUACGGGAGGCAGCAGUGGGGAAUAUUGGACAAUGGACCAAGAGUCUGAUCCAGCAAUUCUGUGUGCACGAUGAAGUUUUUCGGAAUGUAAAGUGCUUUCAGUUGGGAAGAAAAAAAUGACGGUACCAACAGAAGAAGUGACGGCUAAAUACGUGCCAGCAGCCGCGGUAAUACGUAUGUCACGAGCGUUAUCCGGAUUUAUUGGGCGUAAAGCGCGUCUAGGUGGUUAUGUAAGUCUGAUGUGAAAAUGCAGGGCUCAACUCUGUAUUGCGUUGGAAACUGUAUAACUAGAGUACUGGAGAGGUAAGCGGAACUACAAGUGUAGAGGUGAAAUUCGUAGAUAUUUGUAGGAAUGCCGAUGGGGAAGCCAGCUUACUGGACAGAUACUGACGCUGAAGCGCGAAAGCGUGGGUAGCAAACAGGAUUAGAUACCCUGGUAGUCCACGCCGUAAACGAUGAUUACUAGGUGUUGGGGGUCGAACCUCAGCGCCCAAGCAAACGCGAUAAGUAAUCCGCCUGGGGAGUACGUACGCAAGUAUGAAACUCAAAGGAAUUGACGGG